RNAcentral lists this non-coding RNA (178 nucleotides) under human gut metagenome. The record is from RNAcentral.
AAUUAUUAAGGUGUACAAAUGAGUACUUAAAAGGGAAUAUGGUGAAAGUCCAUAACAGCCCCCGCUACUGUAAGAAUGACGAACGCUUGAGAGUUUGGAGACUCUAAUUCCACUGGUGUAUACUGGGAAGGAUAAGCUAUUAGGUUGAGUUCAAAGUCAGGAGACCUGCCUAAAAUUA